UACGUAGGGUGCGAGCGUUAAUCAGAAUUACUGGGCGUAAAGCGUGCGCAGGCGGUUAUAUAAGUCAGGUGUGAAAUCCCCGGGCUCAACCUGGGACCUGCAUUUGAGACUGUAUAGCUAGAGUACGGUAGAGGGGGAUGGAAUUCCGCGUGUAGCAGUGAAAUGCGUAGAGAUGGGGAGGAACACCGAUGGCGAAGGCAAUCCCCUGGACCUGUACUGACGCUCAUGCACGAAAGCGUGGGGAGCAAACAGG
RNAcentral lists this ribosomal RNA (253 nucleotides) under uncultured bacterium. RNAcentral describes it as "partial 16S ribosomal RNA". It matches the Rfam family "Bacterial small subunit ribosomal RNA", at positions 524 to 776 of the family's 1533-position model. The record is from RNAcentral.